This 812-nucleotide long non-coding RNA is filed under the name Homo sapiens (human). RNAcentral describes it as "HSALNT0108817". The record is from RNAcentral. Lineage: Eukaryota; Metazoa; Chordata; Mammalia; Primates; Hominidae.
GUUUAAUUUCACAUACAGUUGGCUUCUGUUUGUGAUAACUUUUACAUUUUCGCAGAUAGCUUGUCUUUUUCCCUGUUGACUCAUAGUUGAGUGAAAAACACAAAUUUCUAAAACUAGAUGAAAAAAUAGUUUUUAUUGUAUCAAGAGUUAAGGACGGCAAAGUACAAAAUGCAAACAUUGGGCCCUCUACAGCGAUAUUACUGGUGCCUCCUAACCUGGGUGUGGCCAUCAGGGCUGGAUAUGAUUUUAGAGCGGAGAGGUCAGAGACCAGGGCUUCCCCGCCUAACACUGGCCUCCUAGGGUGGGAGUGGUAGGCAGGAGCCUAGGGCCAGACUGCUGGACUAAACCUGUGACCAUGGCUAAGGACAUGGGUCUCACUGGAGGUCAGCGCAGCAAGCUCUGAUGUCCGUAGAGGCGAGAACAGGACGCCUUCUUCCCCUGACCAGAAAUGCAGCUCCAGGUUGUCAGGGCUGGGAGGAUGGCCCAGGGUGGGAAGCGGGGAGAUAGGGCGGUAGGACCCGGCGGGAGCUUCCUUGGCCAGGAAAGGAACAGGGCGGGGGGAAAAGAGGGAGGGAGAGAGAAAAAGGGAAGGUGAUGGGGAGCGGGCGUCCGCACCCGCCGCGCCGCACGAGUUGCACUGCUCUGGCGGACCGGACCUGGACUCUAUAUAAAGAGCCCAUCUGCUCCGUAGCUCGCACGCUUCUCCCGGGCUGGUGCACGCCGCGUCCCUCCAGCUCCCCCAGACACCUGCCCCUUCCCAGUGUGCCGCGCCAGGUCCUCCAGACCCGCGCACCCAGUGGCAUGGCUCCGAG